AGCGCGGCGAGCGACGCGUCACCAGAUUCCGCGCAUCAUCGCUCGACGCCGACAGUGGCAAACACUACCAUCACGACCCUGUCUCCGGAGCUUUUUUCGACGCGCCCGCACAAUAUCGCCCCCGAAAAACGCGUCAACUCCGCGCGGAUCGCACGCUUCCCACCGCAAGACGGCAACGCCAUCCAUUUUCGGGGCCGGCACGUUAAGUUAUGUGAAUUCGUUACUCGUUCGUCAAAAUACGAUAAAAACAUGGUUUUCAACCGCAGCAGCUUGCUCCUUCUUCUCCUUGCAACCUUUGUAGCAACGGUUGUAUGUGAAUGCACUUCAGAAAAUAUUGAAAGUUUAGACCAAAUGGGUGAGACCGCUAAGAACGAUGUGAAUGCGUUCCUUAAGAAACUGCUUACAAGUUAUAAAGAUCUGGGCCCUGAGGCUAAGGCGAAGGUGGCUGCAAUCUCCAAAGCAAUGCAGGAGCAGAUGAAGCAAAUAGUGGAUAUCACUAAACUUGAUACGAAAAACACUGGCAAAGUCACGGGCAUUUUUGGAUAGGUACCUAGCAUGCGUCAAAACUAUGAAUACCUAGACUUCAUUUUGGAAAAAGGAACUAUUAUUUCUGGCUUACCGAUAAAAACACUUAUCUGCUUAGCAAAAUUAAAGGCACAAAACGAUGGCCGAAGAAAUGGACCACCUAACUGACAAUUUUGGUGAAAAUGAGUUAGGGACAGUGCCUCAUUCUACAGUAUAAAAUAUGUACGCAAGCUGAUAUUUUUAGUUUUUUCCUAUUGCACCUUAACCAUCGAUAAGUCGUUGUGAAAUGAAUCAGAGAUAGGUAUUAAUUUUGUAUUGCAAACUGUAAUCCAUGCACACUAACCGUGUAGCCAACCUUUCACACCAAGUUUGUAUCAUGGUUGGGAAUAGGAAGAAAGGGGUUGAGGGGGAUUGAUAUUGGAUCAAGCUUUUUUUUUUUUUUUUUUUUACUCAAACAGUCUGAUAUUUAAAAUUUUAUAGUGGCUAAAUAGACUUGCAUAAGGAAAAGAGUUUGUGUAUAAUUACAGGUGGUUUUAUAUUUCCAUUACUGGUUUUUCAUGAUUAAGAAAUUUUAAAUUAUUCUAUGACUUUUCAUUUCGUGGUACUAAUUUGUGUUUUCACACAGUUUCCUUUUCGAGUUUCAAUAUUGAAAUAAGAGAGAAAUCAUUAUAUUGUCAGUACAAAAAUAUUCAUAGUUUUUUUUUUUUUUUUUCAAUAAUAAAUAUUUCAUUAAAUUGAAUGUGGCAACAUUCAAAUGUUCUUACAGUGUUUCUCUUCAGAGUAACAAGUCACAUUUUAUUGUUUGUAAUUUUGGCUCCCUCCAAUACUUCCUAUAUUCUGAAACUGUACAAUUUUCCAUUUAGCCUUAUUUUGGGUUUACAAGAGUCAUCCUCCUCCAUUGUCAGGCACCUCUAGACCUCUCCCUCCUUCUAAGUGCCUAACAUACCUUGUGGCUUAUUUCUGGGACUUUACCAACUUAAUUACAGCCCUCUGUCAGUCAUCAAUUUUAAACCUGUUUGGCUUGAAUUAAAAAUAUAUGUAAAUAAACUUCUAAUGGGCACCACAAAUAAAGUAAACAUUCGUCUCUCAGAUGGUAUUUCCCUGACAUCGUUGAUUUUUCUCAUUAAUUAAUGAUUGAAGGCAAGGAGGCAUAAGUUGUUGAUGAUGGUACGAACAGUCCUACAAAAGGGGAGUAUUUGAAAUUUAAUAUUUUAAAAUUGCACUCAAUACAUUUCAAAAUUAAUAUUUUUAGUGUUAAUAUUAUGGGAAGUCAUAUAAUAGACUCAGAGAUGAGUCCAAGAUAUUUUCCAUUUUAGUUUGUAAUAUGAACUUGAAGCGAAAAUAAAUGAAGUCAAAAGAAAUUAACAAAUUAUAGAUAUGUGAAUUAAGUAUUUAUUGAAUUUUUUUUUCAGAGUACUUUGGUUAAAUAUAAAAUAGGUAAUAAAUAUACAAAAUGUAAAAUAAGGAUUCAAAUUUUAGCACUGGUAGAAUAUAGUGGAAAAUAUAUGCUAAUGUGCCAGCAACAAAAAUAGGAUAAUGUCUUUAGGAGUUUGUAAAAUAUUACAACUACUAACUUUGACGUGAAGAGCAGUAGGUAAAGAAAACGAAAGACCUGAAAAGCUGGCAGCAAGUAACAAGAAGGAGAAAAAAUUCUUUCUUUUUAGUUAAAACUCCUGCAAAAUCUGAUGAAAGACUUUCUAAAAAGUACAUUAAUGGUAGUAAAUACGUAUCCUAAAAAAUUAAGAUUUCUACUAAUGAAUGCACCUAAGUAACCACUUUUACACGCUUACAAGCCUAAAAAAAAUUAAUCACAGCAAAUUGAAAUUAGAGACUCCUCAGAUGGCUAAAAUGAAGCGUUCUUAGAGGAGACAUUAAAGUUUUUGGAAUUUUCAUGACGUGUUGGCAAGUGCUCUUUUUCUCUCAAACUUUGAUGAAUUUGGAUAGAGCCUUAGAUAUUGACUAGACAGAGUGACAAGGAAUCAGCCUAACUACAUUCGACGUUGCCUAAUUUUCUCUUAAUUUUUUUUCUGUAAACUAAGGAACACUGAUACUUGAAAUGUUGUGAGUAUUUAGUUACAAUUUAGGCUAUAUAGGUAUUUGCAGGAAGUUUAUAUUCGUUAAGCAAUUUAGUUUAUUUUAAAAAAUAAAAUAUGAGAGAAAAUUGGGCAACACAAAAUGCUGUUAGUCAGUCUCCACUUAAAUCAGUCCAACUUUAAUUUUUGAACUUGAUCUUACAUAAUGGAAGAUGGUAAAGUGCACUUCAUCUCCCUGUAAAACAUCAGAGACACUAUUCAUUUUGAUAAAUCAGUAAAAAAUUAUACUGAAAACAUUCCUGAGACAGCACAAUUUAGUAAAAAAAUAAGGUGACCCAGGUCCUAUUUUUCACUUACCUAUUUCAACACCUAUGGGGUGACACCGUGGACAAAAACAUCCGUGAUAUAAAAGAAGGAAAUUCAUGGGGGGGAAAAAAUAUUUUUAAAAGUUUCAAAUAUUUAAUACAAACUUAAAGAAAAAUAUAUAAUAUUUCCACUUUCGUAUUUCCCGCCGAGUACCUCCUCAACGCCACGAUUCCAUCGUUCAACGCAACGGUGCCAAUAGUGCGUCGAUAUUAUUGUUUUUUUUUUAUUAUCACCGCAUGAAUCCUCUGUUUUGUCUGGACUCCGAUGUCCGGUUAUUUAUUUAUGGUUAGGUGUGAGGUGAGGUGAUCGGGUGAAUCCAUUCUCCAAGGAAAUAAAGACCAGUCGACUUUUGUGCUGAAGGUAAGUUUCUGUUCCUCCCUAUCAUAACGUCGAGUUGUUUUAAUUCAACCACUUAUUCCCUUUCUCUGAACUCGAAUAUUAACUUAACCUCACUUCUCUGUCAUAUCCAACUUCGUUGGUCACUUCAGAGGUGGCUAAUUUAUUUGAGGAAAUUACAGUGCAACAACUUCACCCUAAAAUUGUAGCAAUUGAAUAAUGUUUUGUUUCUCAUUUGCAACUGAAUGUUCUAAAUAAAUAGAGGUGUCGUCAGCGAAGUUGACGGUUGUUUACUUUCGGUUUGCAGGCGUUUUCGCGUAACUACUAUCCACAUGAAAACAUCUGACUCUCUCAGAAGCAAGAACACAAGCUUAGAUACGUUUUUAAAUACUUUCAAACCUUUUAAUACUUUCAUUUUUAGCCAAACAGAAAUCACAACCACAAAAAAGUCGCAAAUCAUAACUAAUAAGUAGUUUUUUUACGAUACGACCAUCAGACUGAUGUUUUCAGUGUGGAUAGUAGCGAACGCCGCCUUGUUCAGAGGCCCAAAUUCGUCGUUGGCGCUUGCCAACCAAAAGUAAACAACCGUCAACUUAGCUGACGACACCUCUAAUUCUAAUUAUCUCCAACUGAAUUCUUAAGUAUUUCAUCUCGAAAUGCUGAGCAUCUUUUGGCUUUCAAGAGGCUUUUGAAAUCUGAUGCCGCAAUCACACGCUGAAUUUAGCAGCUGAAUGUGGGAGUCAGCAGUAAUCGCCCAAUGGCUGAAAUUUAGCAGAUUCGAGUUAUUUUCAUCCAGAUGUGUAUCAAAUGUACUCGAAUAGUUCCAACAAAUUCAAAAUUGGUCCGAUGGUUGCUGAGAAUCGUUGCUGAAUUUUGCGCAUCACGCGCAAAAUUAAGCCAUCGGGCUGAUGACUCCCACAUUCAAGCCACAUUCAGCUCCCACAUUUAGCGUGUGAUUGCGGCGUCACACUGAUUCUAACGUCAGCAUGGAAUACCUAAUGCUUAGAAUGCUAAAACAAAAAACUACCAAUGCUGGUGUUAAUCUCACUUAGGCUCAUUCGCACUGUUCAUCCCUCUAUUUGGUUAAAAAGUUAGAAUCUGCAGAGAUUUUUAACUCAAUUGUUGCGAUAUAUCGCACGCCAGUUCUGUCAGGCCAGACACCUGGAUAAAUCACCUUAAGACAAAUUUUUUCUCUUUCAAAAGAGGGUGACACCUUAUCUUAUCCGUGCCUCUAACAAAAGUGUAGUGGACCGGAAAAGUCCCCCAUAAUGUCUUACGUAAUCCUUCAAUACCCCCUUGGUGUUUUCUAAACAUGAACCUUUUAAAAAUUGUCCGGGCCGUGUCACAAUAAAUACCUAUCUCUUUUUAAUUCACUGUUCAAAAAUCGUCAGAACUUCUAGAACCAGGUUUUUGUACCUUAAGUAUCUGUGUUUCCAGUUGAGAUACAAAAAACACAAUUAUCUCUCGAGUUUCAUUUCUAAUUAUAUAUUUAUGUUUCAGGGCUUUUUU
This 4769-nucleotide long non-coding RNA is filed under the name Bemisia tabaci. Its description in RNAcentral is "lncRNA ENSASIAIIG012490". The record is from RNAcentral. Lineage: Eukaryota; Metazoa; Arthropoda; Insecta; Hemiptera; Aleyrodidae.